UCUUAGCUAUCCGACGACAUCAAUUCUCCAUCGACGCUGCUCACAAGUCUGCAGCUAUCAAUGCAGUGUUCUCCUCUUUUGAUCAUAUCAACGGAUCUGAUCAAUCUUACCAUGAUCUGCCACCUCACCAACUAUUGUUGUCUGUCCCAAGCGCUCCCCCUUCUUUUCACAAAGCGUUCUCUGUUGGCGAAUCACUCCCCUUCUUCCUUUGGCAAUUGAUAUCCGUCGUUGUCGAUCUUUCUCACCGACGGAUUGUUGCUCACUAUCGAGUGCUCUCUCAUGCCCGUGCAUCUUCUCUCGCACCCAUGCGUUUGCUAAUAAGGAUUGGAAUCAUUCAAAGGGUACCACCAUCAAACACCAAUCUCUCUGUGUCACUAUUGUAAGAGGGGGCCUUUCUCCCUCCUUCCAAUAAGCUUGAUU
Molecule: long non-coding RNA, 420 nt
Filed under: Musa acuminata (dwarf banana)
Lineage: Eukaryota; Viridiplantae; Streptophyta; Magnoliopsida; Zingiberales; Musaceae
Description: long non-coding RNA (MACU_LNC002034)
Source: RNAcentral